GAUGAAGAACGCAGCGAAAUGCGAUAAGUAAUGUGAAUUGCAGAAUUCCGUGAAUCAUCGAAUCUUUGAACGCACAUUGCGCACUCUGGUAUUCCGGGGGGCAUGCCUGUCCGAGCGUCAUUUGCAACCCUCAAGCCCGGCUUGUGUGAUGGGUGCCGUCCCCUACGGGACGCGCCCCGAAGGCAAUGGCGGCGUCGCGGUUAUCCGAUCAGCCAAAGUGUAUGGGGCUUUGUCACUCACUUUACGGCCCGGACCGGCGCCAGUCCGAAUCAAUCUUUUUUCUAAAGUUGACCUCGGAUCAGGUAGGGAUACCCGCUGAACUUAAGCAUAUCAAUAAGCGGAGGA
Molecule: unclassified non-coding RNA, 345 nt
Filed under: soil metagenome
Description: partial contains 5.8S ribosomal RNA, internal transcribed spacer 2, and large subunit ribosomal RNA
Rfam family: 5.8S ribosomal RNA (bases 1-120)
Source: RNAcentral